Molecule: ribosomal RNA, 253 nt
Filed under: uncultured bacterium
Lineage: Bacteria
Description: partial 16S ribosomal RNA
Rfam family: Bacterial small subunit ribosomal RNA
Source: RNAcentral
UACAGAGGUCCCGAGCGUUGUUCGGAUUCAUUGGGCGUAAAGGGUGCGUAGGCGGCGCGGUAAGUCGGGUGUGAAAUCUCGGAGCUUAACUCCGAAACUGCAUUCGAUACUGCCGUGCUUGAGGACUGGAGGGGAGACUGGAAUUUACGGUGUAGCGGUGAAAUGCGUAGAUAUCGUAAGGAAGACCAGUGGCGAAGGCGGGUCUCUGGACAGUUCCUGACGCUGAGGCACGAAGGUCAGGGGAGCAAACGGG